GAUGAACGCUGGCGGCGUGCCUAAUACAUGCAAGUCGAACGGACAGACGCGGCGCUUGCUCCUCUCUCGUUUGCGGCGGGCGUGAGUAACACACGAGUAACCCGUCCCUGACUGUCUGAUAUCUUCAGGGAACUGGGGCGAUUACCCGGGAUAAGCUCCUGCUGCACGUUGGUCGUUGGAGAAUGUCGGAGGUUGUGUAUCGACUCGCGGCUGAUCAGCUUGUUGGUGGGGUAGUUGCUUACCCAGGGUUUGACGGGUAGCCGGCCUGAGAGGGUGACCGGCCACAUUGGGAAUGAGAUACGGCCCAGACGCCUACGGGAGGCAGCAGUGGGGAAUAUUGCACAAUGGGCGGAAGCCUGAGGCAGCAACGCCGCGUGCGGGAUGACGGCCUUCGGGUUGUAAACCGCUUUCGCCUGUGACGAAGCGUGAGUGACGGUAAUGGGUAAAGAAGCACCGGCUAACUACGUG
Molecule: ribosomal RNA, 468 nt
Filed under: uncultured bacterium
Lineage: Bacteria
Description: partial 16S ribosomal RNA
Rfam family: Bacterial small subunit ribosomal RNA
Source: RNAcentral